RNAcentral lists this ribosomal RNA (480 nucleotides) under uncultured bacterium. RNAcentral describes it as "bacterial SSU rRNA". It matches the Rfam family "Bacterial small subunit ribosomal RNA", at positions 30 to 506 of the family's 1533-position model. The record is from RNAcentral.
UUGAACGCUGGCGGCAUGCCUUACACAUGCAAGUCGAACGGUAACAGGUCUUCGGAUGCUGACGAGUGGCGAACGGGUGAGUAAUACAUCGGAACGUGCCCGAUCGUGGGGGAUAACGGAGCGAAAGCUUUGCUAAUACCGCAUACGAUCUACGGAUGAAAGCUGGGGACCGCAAGGCCUUGCGCGGACGGAGCGGCCGAUGGCAGAUUAGGUAGUUGGUGGGAUAAAAGCUUACCAAGCCGACGAUCUGUAGCUGGUCUGAGAGGACGACCAGCCACACUGGGACUGAGACACGGCCCAGACUCCUACGGGAGGCAGCAGUGGGGAAUUUUGGACAAUGGGCGAAAGCCUGAUCCAGCCAUGCCGCGUGCAGGAUGAAGGCCUUCGGGUUGUAAACCGCUUUUGUCAGGGAAGAAACGCUCUGGGCUAAUACCCUGGGGUAAUGACGGUACCUGAAGAAUAAGCACCGGCUAACUACGU